RNAcentral lists this ribosomal RNA (429 nucleotides) under Bacteroidota bacterium. Its description in RNAcentral is "Bacteroidetes bacterium partial 16S ribosomal RNA". It matches the Rfam family "Bacterial small subunit ribosomal RNA", at positions 355 to 776 of the family's 1533-position model. Lineage: Bacteria; Pseudomonadati; Bacteroidota. The record is from RNAcentral.
UAGGGAAUCUUCGGCAAUGGGGGGAACCCUGACCGAGCAACGCCGCGUGAGUGAAGAAGGUUUUCGGAUCGUAAAGCUCUGUUGUUAAGGAAGAACGAGUGUGAGAAUGGAAAGUUCAUACUGUGACGGUACUUAACCAGAAAGGGACGGCUAACUACGUGCCAGCAGCCGCGGUAAUACGUAGGUCCCGAGCGUUGUCCGGAUUGAUUGGGCGUAAAGCGAGCGCAGGCGGUUAGAUAAGUCUGAAGUUAAAGGCAGUGGCUCAACCAUUGUAAGCUUUUGAAACCGUUUUACUUUGGUGGCGGAGGGGAAGAUGGAAAUUCCGUUGGAGCAGUGAACAGCCUAGAUUUAUUGGGGACCACCGGUGGCGAAAGCGGCUCUCUGGUCUGUAACUGACGCUGAGGCUCGAAAGCGUGGGGAGCGAACAGG